Molecule: long non-coding RNA, 216 nt
Filed under: Elaeis guineensis (African oil palm)
Lineage: Eukaryota; Viridiplantae; Streptophyta; Magnoliopsida; Arecales; Arecaceae
Description: long non-coding RNA (EGUI_LNC025818)
Source: RNAcentral
UUUCCUUGGAUCCCUACACCUAUCUAAUUUUUUUUCUAUUUUUUUCUUAUGUUUCCAUUGAUUUUUUUUUCUCUCCACUCUUAUUCUCGAACCUCCUAUUUAUAGGUAAAUUUUUUACCUUUGUUUGGUAGUAAAAGGAGUCCUAAAACUCUUAGAAAUUAUAUAAUACCCGUAUGAAUUAAUUCUGGCCAUCGGAUCUUCAUUGGACUGCCCAGA